This 840-nucleotide ribosomal RNA is filed under the name uncultured bacterium. Its description in RNAcentral is "bacterial SSU rRNA". It matches the Rfam family "Bacterial small subunit ribosomal RNA", at positions 8 to 794 of the family's 1533-position model. The record is from RNAcentral.
AGAGUUUGAUCCUGGCUCAGGAUGAACGCUGGCGGCGUGCCUAAUACAUGCAAGUCGAGCGGUAAGGCUUUCACAGAUUAUUUGAACAGAUAAGUUCGCCAUGGAGCGAAUACUGUUUGAAAAUACUUUUACUAGGCUAGUAAAAGUAGUCGAAUAAUGUGUGAAAGUACACGAGCGGCGGACGGCUGAGUAACGCGUAGGAACGUACCCCAAAGUGAGGGAUAAGCACCGGAAACGGUGUCUAAUACCGCAUGUGAUCCACGGAUUAAAGCCUUGUGCGCUUUGGGAGCGGCCUGCGUAUGAUUAGUUUGUUGGUGAGGUAAUGGCUCACCAAGACUACGAUCAUUAGCUGGUCUGAGAGGAUGAUCAGCCAGACUGGGACUGAGACACGGCCCAGACUCCUACGGGAGGCAGCAGUAGGGAAUUUUCCACAAUGGGCGAAAGCCUGAUGGAGCAACGCCGCGUGCAGGAUGACGGCCUUCGGGUUGUAAACUGCUUUUAUGAGUGAUGAUUAAGACAGUAGCUCAAGAAUAAGGGUCGGCUAACUACGUGCCAGCAGCCGCGGUCAUACGUAGGACCCAAGCGUUAUCCGGAAUUACUGGGCGUAAAGAGUUGCGCAGGCGGCUUGUUAAGCAAGGUGUGAAAGCGUGUGGCUCAACCACAUAUACAUACUUUGAACUGGCAAGCUAGAGUGUGAGAGAGGUUACUGGAAUUCCAAGUGUAGGAGUGAAAUCCGUAGAUAUUUGGAGGAACACCGAUGGCGUACGCAGGUAACUGGCUCAUUACUGACGCUCANGCACGAAAGCGUGGGGAGCAAACGGGAUUAGAUACCCCGGUAGU